AGUACAGUGGCGUACGGGUGAGUAACACGUGGAUCAUCUACCUUUUAGUGGGGGAUAACUCUGGGAAACCGGAGCUAAUACCGCAUAAGUCCGAGAGGAGAAAGCAGCAAUGCGCAGGAGGAGGAGUCCGCGGCCGAUUAGCUAGUUGGUAGGGUAAAAGCCUACCAAGGCAACGAUCGGUAGCCGGCCUGAGAGGGCACACGGCCACACUGGUACUGAAACACGGGCCAG
This 231-nucleotide ribosomal RNA is filed under the name uncultured bacterium. RNAcentral describes it as "partial 16S ribosomal RNA". It matches the Rfam family "Bacterial small subunit ribosomal RNA", at positions 89 to 334 of the family's 1533-position model. The record is from RNAcentral.